This is a long non-coding RNA of Nilaparvata lugens (brown planthopper), 346 nucleotides long. RefSeq lists it as uncharacterized. The transcript is spliced from 3 exons. The record is from RefSeq and is a predicted model, not a curated record. NCBI's taxonomy places the organism in Eukaryota, Metazoa, Arthropoda, Insecta, Hemiptera, Delphacidae.
UUGAAUUUCAACAAGUCGCGGUGAUUUUGGUUGUUUUUUUCACAUUGAAUCAAUCAUCUGCUUUAAAAGAUCAACCAAGACUUGAAACUCGGAAUGGACAUUUGUAUAUAAUAGCUGCAGACUCUCAGAAUAUUACAUUUGUCACUUCUGGAAAUGGAGCAGUGAAUUUGAAUGGGGAAAAUCUGGUUCACCUUGUGGCUGUUGCAAAAAAAGCAGCUUCAAUUGUGGAGAAUGUACAGUCCAGCGUCCUGGUUCCAUUUGAAGAACGUCUGAAUACGUUGGCAGAUAGCAUAAAUGGUCCAAACGGAUUGCUGCAGGCUCUGGCCCAUUACAGAGCAACAGGGAC